Molecule: small RNA, 58 nt
Filed under: Sinorhizobium meliloti 2011
Lineage: Bacteria; Pseudomonadati; Pseudomonadota; Alphaproteobacteria; Hyphomicrobiales; Rhizobiaceae
Description: putative ncRNA
Source: RNAcentral
AUCGGUAAAGGUGGAAACGGGCGAAGCCGCCCCUUCGAACUGGCCGAUGACGACGCGC